This is a long non-coding RNA of Melopsittacus undulatus (budgerigar), 1357 nucleotides long. RefSeq lists it as uncharacterized. The record is from RefSeq and is a predicted model, not a curated record. The transcript is spliced from 4 exons. NCBI's taxonomy places the organism in Eukaryota, Metazoa, Chordata, Aves, Psittaciformes, Psittaculidae.
AUGGCAACACAGCCUUCUGGUGUGUCAGCCACUCCUUCCAAUUUAGUAUCACCACCCAUUUGCUGCUGGCAUUUCCAUCAUUCUAUUUCCCAUCUCUCAGUUUUCCAUUUAGUUCUACACUCUCAGAAAAGCGCUUUCCCUGGAGUCCACUAAAGUUACUUUUUCUGAAGGAAUUACAUCCUUUAAAAGAAGAGAACCAAACAAAAACAUCUAGUAAAACUGGGACUUCUUAUCUGACCUCCUGUGACAUCUAAAGCCACAGAUGUGCUCAGAAUCUGGCAUGCCUUUUCCUGUGCCCUGCUCCCGAGCUGGCAUGAAGAACAUGAAGCCUAAAUAGUGUGUUCCAGUGGUCAAUAGAAACGUGGUCAUAUGGUCCGCCUCAUCUUCUUUGUUUUGGAAAGAGAGCCUGCUCCAAACCCACUCAAGCCAACAGCAUAAGCAGAAAUAGCAUAUGCCAUUCAGUAUAACCAGCUGGGAACUUCACCUCCUACAUCCUUCUCUAGAAGCUAUGUUUAAGGAAUUCAUGGAAACUCGGCUGAGAAGCAACCCAGGAAUCAUCUCUGUGAGUGUCUGCCUGCCACUGCCAUGGAGCUGCAGCACAACUACAAGUGUUUCUUUAUGUAGUCUCCCCAUUUUAUUAUAAGAAAAAUAAAAAUAGGUAUGUUCCUUAAUUUUUUCUCACGUCUGGGGAGACCAGUCCAGUCCAUCAGUUUUUGCAGUACUUCUUAAGACCUUAUUAAUUUUGCAACACCUUUUUUGACAGAUUGGGGUCUGGGUCUGUGUGCCAUAUUCUGGUAUCUUUCUUACUAUUCAUGUAUUUAGAAAUAAAGUUGGCAUCCUGCUGUUUUCAGUCCCCCUUUCUCAUCUAAAUUCUCAGUUAAGCUUCAUCCUGACCUUUAUCAAAGAAGCAAGGGUGAAGGAGUCUUUAGCCUUCUGGCAAGAUAUGUAGAACAAGCCUGUUCAACUGUUCCCACCUAAAAAAGUGGCUAUUUUUUUUAUUUUUGUUGUUGUGGGGUGGUUUUUCUGUCCUUUUUUGUUUGUUUGUUGUUUUGUUUUGUUUUUUACUUUUGCUGGCUACUUAUUCCACUUAACCCUGGCAACAUGCAAAGGCUCCAGUCUUUUACCAAUGAAGAGAAAGGGAAUUAUACCACCCUAUAGGCAAAGGACCAGUGGCUACCACAUACCUGACUCUUCCACAUGGGAGAAUGAAGACAGAAAGGUAAAAUGGAAAAAAACCCAAGGAAGCUGGGGGAUCAACAUAUCUUCUGCUGCUAUAAAUAUGUAUUUGAGUUGUCUAUUCCUCUGUAGAAGGAACCCUUUGUUAAUUUAAAGUACUUUUACACCCUUGCAGAGAUAU